UGCCCCAGUGGCGGAAUUGGCAGACGCGCAACGUUCAGGUCGUUGUAUGGGUUUCCAUGUACAGGUUCGAAUCCUGUUUGGGGCAU
This 86-nucleotide transfer RNA is filed under the name Limosilactobacillus oris. Its description in RNAcentral is "tRNA-Leu(cag)". It matches the Rfam family "tRNA". From Rfam's summary of the family: Transfer RNA (tRNA) molecules are approximately 80 nucleotides in length. Their secondary structure includes four short double-helical elements and three loops (D, anti-codon, and T loops). Lineage: Bacteria; Bacillati; Bacillota; Bacilli; Lactobacillales; Lactobacillaceae. The record is from RNAcentral.